This 6493-nucleotide long non-coding RNA is filed under the name Brassica napus (rape). Its description in RNAcentral is "long non-coding RNA (BNAP_LNC004900)". Lineage: Eukaryota; Viridiplantae; Streptophyta; Magnoliopsida; Brassicales; Brassicaceae. The record is from RNAcentral.
CUGGUUCGUUACAUCUUCUUUUAUUCUAAACAAUGCGUCAAUGCAUCUUUUGUUUUUGGUGCUCAUCGUUCUCGUUGCGGAAAUGUUACUGUCUUGCAGGUCCAAUCCAAUUCACUGGACCUGGUUCGGAUGCUCUCAGCCACACUCUACUUCUCGAACUCGGGGCUCAAUAAUCUCUGAGUAGCCGGCCUUCCUUUCAUUCUCUCAAUUUUCUGCUUUCCUUGCAAUUUCACGUUUGGUCUUUUCUUUUUUCUUUUUUACCUUGAAACUCAUGUCUCCAUCUUUACCGUUAAGCUUUCAUCACUCUAAAUGUUUUUUUUUUUUCCUGUUGUGUUCUUGAACAUAUAAUAUAUAAUAUGGGAGCUUAAAUCUAAUUCAAAGUUCCAAAGUUGCAGUGCCAAUCGUUACUAGAUUAUGCUAGGUUCUAUAAGCUUUUAUUAGGAACAUCUUUAGCUUCUAGAUUCAGUAAAUGCUCACUUGGUAUUAUUAGAUCAUCCACAAUGGGAGCUCUUAAGGGAAUCCUUAGAGGGUGUGGAACCCACUUUCUUAGAGUUUGUGUAAAAAAAAAUUUUUAAAAUCUUUUGGUAAGGAUUGAUCCUUACACUGUUCACGGGUCCCAUUGACUACGUGACGGUCCGUGAAUGGUCUUUUUUUUUUUUUAAAGAAAUCCAAAAUAUCCAAAAUUAAUCCGAAAUACCUUUGUGCUAAGGACUCUAAUGAGUCUCACCAUUGCGCAUGGUCUUAGUUUCCAGUGUUAAUAGAAUACAUAUAUGCAACCUAAACCCACAUAUUGUUUCUUAAAAGCCCCCAUUGGAGCUUAUUGCCUGGUUCAUUGCUUGAGGACUUGAGUUAUGACGGAGGAGAUGACCAAAAAAAAUCAAAAGCAGGAAGGGUAUAGGGUUGUUUCUGUUAGCAGCUAAACUAGAGGGAGAAAACAUGAAUAUAGUUUAAAACAUGGGGGACUAAAGUUUUUAAGUUUAGCUGUAAAAAACAAAGGAGGAUUGAAACAAUAAAUAGACCGACUGAAAUCCAGACAAAUCUCUGUCAGAAGAGAAGCUAAACUCGGCAAAGCUUUCGCGCUCUUAUUUAUAGCAAUUUCGUUCUUCCGUUAGUUUAGUCUCUCUUUCUCUCUCUCCUUUUGUCGAUCCAGAGACAAGAGGAGAGAGAGAAAAAGACCAGGGAGGAACUUGUGUGUUUGAUCAUGGAACAUGAGAGACCUGACGUAGAGAGACCUGAGUCACGUGAUCUUCUUCUUCCGGUAUGCGGAGUUCCACCGCCAUAUUCCCCGCUUCUCAGCCCGACCCGUUUCUUCCCAUUGUCCGGAGAGCCGAGUCCGAGACAAACUAUAAAGCGUGGGAAGAAGAACAGAUUAAUCCGUACUUGGUACGAGCAAAGAACGGCUACAACAGCCAUCGGCGUAAUCGUCAUUUUGGGCGUCUUCUUCCUUGUGAAUUGGUUAAUGCUCUCUCGUCUUCACGAAGGACGAGUUUGGCUUCGAACAGGGUUCGCUAAGAAUACAUACCAGAUCCCUAAAUGGGUUUCUUCUACACAGGUAAAAAAUAUUAUAAGCUUUUCUUGUCUCCCAAGAAAACAGAAUAAUAGACUGAAAAUAUCAAUGAUGUACAACGUUGUUGUUGUGGACCAGAACGUUGAGGUUAGAAGGUUUGGAAAAUCAAGGAGAAAACAUAAUGGAACAUAUGAUAGAAUGUUGGGUUUGGCCGCUCAGGCUUUGCUAGAGGUAACGAACGUUUUCUCCAAAAUCUAAUCCGUAACAUUUAUUAUGUUAUGUUAUCACUGCUUGUUGUUAUUACGUUGUAAUGGUAUUUGAUUGGAGCAGAACAAACGUGAGCCAAAAGAGUUAUGGCAGGAGCCAAAGGCUCAAGCUUUGGCUUGGAAGCCAUGUGCUGAUCAACGCUCUUGGUCUCCUGACGGUAGACACUCUCCCUCUCUUUUUUUUUUUUGCUUUAAGACUGGAUCAAGCUUGUUUCCUAUGGAGUUUUCUUUAUUUAUUUAUUUUUCUGAUUUUUUAGAUGGAGAAAAUGGAUAUAUUAUGGUAACUGCAAACGGAGGGAUAAAUCAACAAAGAGUUGCUGUAAGUAUUCUUCUCCUUUGUCCUUCAAGUUGCCUUUUGAAAUUUCUCUAUCAUCAUAUCAUGAGACCGCGGGAUACUUUUCACAGGUAUGUAAUAUCGUUGUUGUAGCUCGUUUGCUCAAUGCGUCUCUAGUCAUUCCAAAAUUCAUGUUAAGCGACGUUUGGACAGAUGCAAGGUAACUAUUGUAAGCUCCUCGUCCUUUCUCCUCUGUCUCUACAACAUUUACGACUCAUAUUCAUGAAGAAACAUUACAUAUAUAAUAAUGUAUUUGACUUUGAUACAUCAUAAUCCCUCCCUUUCCCUUCCCCUUUUUGAUGAUGUGAAAUAGAUAAAAUCCUAAUAAAAUUCGCACAUUUCCGCUAUUUAAAUAUUAAAUAAAGUAAUAAAAAACCUUUCUUUUUUAUUCUUCACGUCCCGGAUUACGUCCUGGAUCAUUAGAUAGGAAUCCAAAUAUGAAGAGAGAAACAAAGAAUAUAACUACAGUAUAUACUGUCUUAGAAAAAUUCACGAUUUUGAUUCUUCCGACAAUUCAAAUCAAAAGAUCAAAAAAUCUUGACGUAGGAAGGAAUUCUCAAUUCAAACAUUGAAUUUUUUUGGUAGCCAUACUAAAUCUGUUAUAUAGAACAAAAAUACAACUACAUAACUUCGCAGACUAGCUUUUCAGCUUCCAUACAUACAUCUAGGAACAUGGGAUGUCGUUAUUAUUGUCUUCCGUCACUAGUUACCAACAAGAGAAGUCUUCAUUCUAUCCAACAAGCUCACUUCCAUGCCGUCGUCCCCUUUGCCUCUCGUCACCAUCAUCACGCAUAUAUGCACCAGCACCACCUUGUCUCAUCUUGGCUCAGGCAACUACCCUAACAUUCAUAUCCGUGUCAAGCAACACACUGCUCGUCCUUUACUCCCAAUUCAAGAAUCAGAUAUCGAGGGUAAUAAUCAUAAUUUUAUCAGAAAAAACAGAGAAAUUAAUAUAUUUAUAGGAAAUUCAGAAACUAAAUAAGAAGUUACAUCCUCAUGAAUUAAAAUCUAAAACCUAGAGGGAUUAUUCUUGUCAAUCUUGGAGACGUCCUAAUCGAGCUUGUUUUCUUCUUCUUCUUCUCCUUCAACCUCUUCACCACUGAUUCGGAUCCAAUCGAUUUCUUAUUGAUCUCACUCUCUCCAGCGACUCUAUCAAAAUCACCAGAGAGGUUUCUGAUGAUCCUAGCCACUCCCGAUCCAAUCUCAUCCUCAUCGUUAAGAUCUACGUACCUCCUUCGUUUCACCGCAACCGGAGCCGCGGGAGGAGGAGAAUCACAACCAGAUCUCUUCUUCUUCUCGGAGUCUCCAGGGCUGGAAUCCUCGAGCUGCGCUCGGAGCUUCUCCACGUUUCCUUCGAUCCGUCCCUGGAGACGGAGGCGCGUGAAGUUGAGACCACCCGUGGACCAGUGAGCGUCUCUAGCCCACGAGAGAAGCGGAUCGGCACGGUGAGAGUUAAACUGAGGAUUAGCGAAGAAACGAGGACGGGGAAGCGCGUUUCCGUAGAACUCCACAGGCCUGAUGGCGAUGUUCUUACUCACCGGCGUCGUCAUCGUGAAGUUUCAAGGAAGAAGAUAUUAGAGAGAUUGAGAAUCAAGGACCUCGUAAUCUGUAUUUAUACAUGCAUACAUGAUUUACUAAUACUAUCGAGAGAAAAGGAAGAUACAAUAAUGGAAAUAUUCCUAAUCUAAUUUCAACAAGAUUUAUUCGGCGCAAGACUCUUGCCGCGCUGCUUCAAAUAAAGUAUUUGGCGCCUCCUCAAUCUUUGCUUCCUCGCAAUUUUAAUUCGAUUCUGUUAGCGACUGACAUGUGUCGUACUAAUGAAUAAAUAAAUAAAUAAAUGUACUAAAAGUGAAAGACAAAUCUCCAAAAUAGCACUUUUCUAAGUUUAUAUCACAAAAAUAGCACUCAAAAACUAAAACGACCAAAAUAGCAUCUUUCUAAGUUUAUCCUUUGAAAAUUUUAAUUUUUUAUUUUUCAAAAUUUAAAAUCUUAUCCCCAAAACCUCAUUUCUCAACUCUAAACCCUAAACCCUAAACUUUAAACCCUAAACCCUAAACCCUAAACCCUAAACUCUAAAACCUAAACCCUAAACUCUAAACCCUAAACCCUAAACCCUAAACCCUAAACCCUAAAAUCUAAAAUCUAAACCCUAAAAUCUAAACCCUAAACCCUAAAUCCUAAACCCCACACUUUAACUCUAAACUCUAAGUUUGUGAUUUUUGAUAAAACAUUAAGUGCUAUUUUUGUGACUUUUGACCUUGAGUGCUAGUUUGGGAACAUAAACUUGAUUUAAUGCUAUUUUUGUCUUUUUCUCAAAAGUGAAUGUAUUAAUCUAUUAAUUUAUAAUCUUAUUUUUUAUCUACUAUUAACAAAUAAUAGUAGAACUACAUAAAAAUUAGUUGAUAUGAUAUAUUUGAUUAUUUACAUUAAUAAUAAACCAACAAUAAAUUUUAUUUUUUAUAAUUAAAAAAAUCUGUUGAGAAAAAAUCUAACAAAAUCUUACUUAAGAAUUUAAAUAUUUUAUGUUAUUUAUUAAUUAAUUUCGUAAUUAAUAAUAUAAUAUUAUUAUAAACUAAAAUUUUAUUAUAAAACAAAAAAAUUAAAAUUAUCUACUAUUUUUUAUUAUAAAUUCUAUAAUUAUAUUAUGUAUUAUUUAAAAAUAGAAUUAAAAUAUGGCAAAAUUAUAUUAAAUAGGUAAAUUAACAAAUUUUAGUUUUUUUAAAUUGUUUCAUUUAAAUAAAUUAUCACUCAUCAUUAAAAUAAGUUAAAUUCGUCAACUAUAUAAUAUUUUUAUACAUUAAUAACUUUAUUAACAUAGGUUAAAUUUUUAUAUCUACAACUAUAUAUUAUCUUUCUUUUUGAAACUCUCAACAAUAUAUUGUUUAAAAUGUUUAUAUACAAUAUAUAAUAGUAUAUAAUAACAUUUAGUUCAUAUACUAUUUAAAAAAAUAUGUUAUUAGAAAAAUAUGAAAUUUUGGUAGUUCAUUUAAAAUAUUAAUGUCAUUUUAAUUAUAAUUUUUUUUUAAUUAUAACAAAAUAUGUUGAGAAAAUUUAGAAAAUAUUACCAAAAAUUCAAAUAUUUGUAUAAAAUAAUGUAUUAAUGUAGUAACAAUAAAAAUUCAUGUCAUCUUCCAAACUAAAAAUACUAGUGUAAUUUUUCAAAGUUUUCUUGACAAAAUAUAAAAUUUUGAAAAUAAAUAUUCAACCUCAAAAUGAUAUUCCAUUGACAUGGAUACAGGUAUGAAGGAAGAUGCGGUUUGCCUACAAAUUUUGAUGCAACCUACUGUUACGCACUUGGUUAUGGCGCUGGAGUUCUCCUCAACAGUGGAAAAACCGGACUGAUUUCUUCGGUUUGUACUUGAUCAUUUUCCAUUCAAAUAAGUUUUCUCAAUGUUAAUAAUGUAUCUGUUGAGUGUGAACAUAGCUUCCUUUAGUAAACUAGUUUGUGCGUGGAAUGAGAUGAGUUAUUUAUUGGCGCAGGUCGGGAACUUGGCUGCUCCAGUGGAAGAAUGGACUGUAGGUGGGACUGCUCUCACAGCCUUGAUGGAUGUCGAGAGGAGACACGGUAUGAAAAUAAUCAAAUCAGUAAAGUUUGCUAAGAAGUAAGAACCAUUCGAAUUGUGGAUAUUAAGAAACAUGGGUUGAUUAUUAACUUGCAGGUAAGUUCAAGCCUGUGAUCAAGAAAGCAAUGGUGGAACUUGAAGGUGAAUCUUUGAUCCUUUUUCUCACAGUCCUUGUGCGGCGGUUAAAUGGUCAUAUACUAAGUUUUUUUCAUUUUGAAUCUGCAGGUGCGCCGUUUAAGAAAUUCGCAUCGCUGCGUGAGGAGUGGGCUUUGAAGAACCGAUACAUCAGCCCUGGUUCGUUACAUCUUCUUUUAUUCUAAACAAUGCGUCAAUGCAUCUUUUGUUUUUGGUGCUCAUCGUUCUCGUUGCGGAAAUGUUACUGUCUUGCAGGUCCAAUCCAAUUCACUGGACCUGGUUCGGAUGCUCUCAGCCACACUCUACUUCUCGAACUCGGGGCUCAAUAAUCUCUGAGUAGCCGGCCUUCCUUUCAUUCUCUCAAUUUUCUGCUUUCCUUGCAAUUUCACGUUUGGUCUUUUCUUUUUUCUUUUUUACCUUGAAACUCAUGUCUCCAUCUUUACCGUUAAGCUUUCAUCACUCUAAAUGUUUUUUUUUUUUCCUGUUGUGUUCUUGAACAUAUAAUAUAUAAUAUGGGAGCUUAAAUCUAAUUCAAAGUUCCAAAGUUGCAGUGCCAAUCGUUACUAGAUUAUGCUAGGUUCUAUAAGCUUUUAUUAGGAACAUCUUUAGCUUCUAGAUUCAGUAAAUGCUCACUUGGUAUUAUUAGAUCAUCCACAAUGGGAGCUCUUAAGGGAAUCCUUAGAGGGUG